GACGAACGCUGGCGGCGUGCUUAACACAUGCAAGUCGAACGGAAAGGCCCUGCUUUUGUGGGGUGCUCGAGUGGCGAACGGGUGAGUAACACGUGAGUAACCUGCCCUUGACUUUGGGAUAACUCCAGGAAACUGGGGCUAAUACCGGAUAGGAGCUCCUGCUGCAUGGUGGGGGUUGGAAAGUUUCGGCGGUUGGGGAUGGACUCGCGGCUUAUGCGCCUGUUGGUGGGGUAGUGGCUUACGAAGGUUUUGACGGGUAGCCGGCCUGAGAGGGGGGCCGGCCACAUGGGGACUGAGAUACGGCGCAGACGCGUACGGGAGGCAGCGGUGGGGAGUAUGGCACAGUGGGCGGACGCCUGAGGCAGCAACGCCGCGUGCGGGAUGACCGCCUUCUGGUUGUAAACCGCUUUCGCCGGUGACGAGGAGUGAGUGACGGUAAUGGGUAAAGAAGCACCGGCUAACUACGUG
This 468-nucleotide ribosomal RNA is filed under the name uncultured bacterium. RNAcentral's name for it is "partial 16S ribosomal RNA". It matches the Rfam family "Bacterial small subunit ribosomal RNA", at positions 28 to 507 of the family's 1533-position model. The record is from RNAcentral.